CACUCGAAACCCUAACCCUAAUUAGGUUACCACCAUGUCCAAGCGCAAGUUCGGUUUCGAGGGUUUCGGCAUCAACCGCCCAUCCACGUACUCCUUCGAGCGCUCCCAGGCCCCUCAGCGCCUCUCGCGCCCUCCCACGACCUUUCCGACGACCAAGACCUCAACGACAUCGCCUACGACAACCCCGACCCCCCCCUAUACCGCCCCAGAUGGUGAUGGAGAGAUCGACCCCCUUGACGCCUUCGUGGAGGGCAGCCACGAGGAGAUCCGCGAGUCACCUCCCCUCUCUGUUCAACCUAAGGAAAAGGGUGAGAGGUUUAAGGAUGAGGACGAGGAUGACCCUGUUGAGAGCUUUCUGAGAUCUAAGAAGGACAUUGGCUUGGCCUUGGCUUCAGAGGCCUUGCACGCUGGGUAUAAUUCGGAUGAGGAGGUCUAUGCUGCUGCCAAGGCUAUGGAUGCUAUCUUGGUUGAGUAUGAUUCGGAUGACAACCCAAUUGUUGUUGAUAAGCGGAAGAUUGAGCCGAUCCGGCUUUGGAUCGUAGUGCCAUUGAAUACGAACCCUUUAAUAAGGAUUUCUAUGAAGAAAAGCCCUCAAUUUCUAGGAUCAUGCUAGUGAGGUUUAGAGAAAGGAUGGAUUUGGACUCCUACGGUACGCUGUCAGGGUGAGAUGGAGGAGGUGGUGAGAAGCCUUGCAAGUGGGUUGGAAUUGGUUGCUUAGAUGGGAGAGUAGUGGAACUAUGUCAUUUUUGAGGAAAUUUAUGUGUAGAUUGGAUGGUGGAAUUGCAACAAUAUAGUGCAAAUAAGGCUGAUUGAAGCUCUGUUUCUGAGCUCACUGGCAUUAGCUAUGGCGGAUAUUGUUGUUGCCUAUUGGACCAAUUGCAGGGAGAGAAGGAAGCUUCUUCUUGUGUAUGGGAUCGACAUAGAAGGAGUAUAGGUCAUCAUCUAGGUCAAGAUCAGCUUAGUCGCUUCAGCACAAUGAAGAGUGGUUUGAUCGGAUGGAGAACUAUUUACCACAGGCGAUAAACGAGGAGGCACAAGAGAUCAUUGAAGGGUUGUGGGAGAAAGGCCGGAUGUUUACCGAGUUCAUCAUGGCUAAUGGUACCGUCACUGAAUGAUUGCGCAUUGCUUGUGUACUUGGAGAGGUUUGUGUAUUGUUGUUAUGCCUUAGUUCUCACAAUUGCUUGAUGGAUGGUGUUACUUGCAUCCAUACUAAUAUUGAGAACUGAAAAGUUUAGUAGAAUAUGAUGUGAAUAAUAAUAUGAAUCAUGAUGGACAUGGUUAUUUCUUGUUGUUUUUGAAUCAUUAUUCAUUUUGAGAAUUGCCAUUCUUUCAUGUGCACCACAGCCUCUAUGACAAUUGUUCAUGAGCUUUUCUUUAUUUUCUUAGAAUUGAAUUUUGCAACCACUUAUUAUGUUAGGAAAGAACUUCAUAGUUUUGAAAAGGUAAAUUCAUUGUAUGUUGUUGAUGCCACCAGAUAACUCAUGUAAGAAUAAUAUUGUGGAGGCCCUAGUGUUGUCUAUUGAUGGAUUGUGGGUUGUAACACUAAAGGACGUCAGCUCUUUCUAAUGUUUGUGGGCAUCAUUUUAUUUGAGAUAGUUUGCUCAAUCACUUAGUUAAAAUUUAUGUUGGGUUUACUGUUAAGUUCUCAUAUUUCUGCAAGGUUAUAUUACUGCAGAUCAGCCAAUAAAUGUUUCCAUUU
RNA transcript from Dioscorea cayenensis subsp. rotundata (Guinea yam), 1699 nucleotides. It is a transcript of the gene named DEAD-box ATP-dependent RNA helicase 24-like, with no coding region annotated. Lineage: Eukaryota; Viridiplantae; Streptophyta; Magnoliopsida; Dioscoreales; Dioscoreaceae. The transcript is spliced from 5 exons. The record is from RefSeq and is a predicted model, not a curated record.